AGCAGCGCCGGGUCCAGAGUGGAGGUGCUCCUAGCAGUGUCGUUCCUCGACCAGCAGCAGUUCUCACUACAGCGCCAGGACGAGUCCGGUUCGUGUGCGUCCGCGGAGAUCUCUCUCAUCUCGCUCGGCUGCGGGAAAUCGGGCUGAAGCGACUGAGUCCGCGAUGGAGAGAGAAGAGGAACAAUUCCGUAAACUCUUUAUUGGUAGCUUGAGCUUUGAAACUACAGAAGAAAGUUUGAGGAACUACUACAAGCAGUGGGGAAAACUUACAGAUUGUGUGGUAAUGAGGGAUCCUGCAAGCAAAAGAUCAAGAGGAUUUGGUUUUGUAACUUUUUCAUCCAUGGCUGAGGUUGAUGCCGCCAUGGCUGCAAGACCUCAUUCAAUUGAUGGGAAAGUGGUUGAGCCAAAACGUGCUGUUGCAAGAGAGGAAUCUGGAAAGCCAGGGGCUCAUGUCACUGUGAAGAAGCUGUUUGUAUGUGGAAUUAAAGAAGAUACUGAGGAACAUCAUCUUAGAGAUUACUUUGAGGAAUAUGGAAAAAUUUAUACCAUUGAGAUAAUUACCGAUAGGCAGUCUGGAAAGAAAAGAGGCUUUGGAUUUGUUACUUUUGAUGACCAUGAUCCUGUGGAUAAGCUUGUGUUGCAGAAAUACCAUCCUAUCAAUGGUCAUAAUGCAAAAGUAAAGAAGGCUUUAUCUAGACAAGAAAUGCAGGAAAUCCAAAGUUCUAGAAGUGGAAGAGGAGGCAACUUUGGUUUUGGAGAUUCUCGUGGUGGUGGUGGAAAUUUUGGACCAGGACCAGGAAGUAACGUCAGAGGAGGAUCUGAUGGAUAUGGAAGUGGUCGUGGAUUUGGGGUUGACUAUAAUGGGUAUGGAGGAGGACCUGGAGGUGGCAAUUUUGGAGGUAGCCCUGGUUAUGGAGGAGGAAGAGGAGGAUAUGGUGGUGGAGGACCUGCAUAUGGCAACCAGGGUGGGGGCUGCAGAGGUGGUUAUGACAAGUAUGGAGGAGGAAAUUAUGGAAGUAGAAAUUAUAAUGAUUUUGGAAAUUAUAACCAGCAACCUUCUAACUAUGGUCCAAUGAAGAGUGGAAACUUUGGUGGUAGCAGAAACAUGGGAGGACCAUAUGGUGGAGGAAACUAUGGUCCAGGAGGUGGUGGAGGAAGUGGGGGGUAUAGAGGGAGAAGACGAUAUUGAUCUUCUUCCUAUUUACCAUGGGCUUCACUGUAUAAAUAGGAGAGGAUGAGAGCCCAGAGGUAACAGAACAGCUUCAGGUUAUCGAAAUAAUAAUGUUAAGGAAACUCUUAUCUCAGUCAUGCAUAAAUAUGCAGUGAUAUGGCAGAAGACACCAGAGCAGAUGCAGAGAGCCAUUUUGUGAAUGGAUUGUUUAAUAACAUUACCUUACUGUGGAGGAAGGAUUGUAAAAAAAAAAAAAAAAAAUGCCUUU
Non-coding RNA from Delphinapterus leucas (beluga whale), 1439 nucleotides. The record is from RefSeq and is a predicted model, not a curated record. Lineage: Eukaryota; Metazoa; Chordata; Mammalia; Artiodactyla; Monodontidae.